AGAACGAACGCUGGCGGCAGGCUUAACACAUGCAAGUCGAGCGCCCCGCAAGGGGAGCGGCAGACGGGUGAGUAACGCGUGGGGAUGUACCCAAAGGAUCGGAAUAACUCAGGGAAACUUGAGCUAAUACCGGAUGUGCCCGAGAGGGGAAAGAUUUAUCGCCUUUGGAUCAACCCGCGUCAGAUUAGCUAGUUGGUAGGGUAAUGGCCUACCAAGGCGACGAUCUGUAGCUGGUCUGAGAGGAUGAUCAGCCACACUGGGACUGAGACACGGCCCAGACUCCUACGGGAGGCAGCAGUGGGGAAUAUUGGACAAUGGGCGCAAGCCUGAUCCAGCCAUGCCGCGUGAGUGAUGACGGCCUUAGGGUUGUAAAGCUCUUUCGACGGGACGAUAAUGACGGUACCCGUAGAAGAAGCCCCGGCUAACUUCGCGCCAGCAGCCGC
Molecule: ribosomal RNA, 443 nt
Filed under: uncultured bacterium
Lineage: Bacteria
Description: SSU rRNA
Rfam family: Bacterial small subunit ribosomal RNA
Source: RNAcentral